Molecule: transfer RNA, 74 nt
Filed under: Lachnospiraceae bacterium
Lineage: Bacteria; Bacillati; Bacillota; Clostridia; Lachnospirales; Lachnospiraceae
Description: tRNA-Met
Rfam family: tRNA
About the family: Transfer RNA (tRNA) molecules are approximately 80 nucleotides in length.
Source: RNAcentral
GCCGAGAUAGCUCAGUUGGUUAGAGCAUGCGGUUCAUACCCGCAGUGUCGGAGGUUCGAAUCCUCUUCUCGGUA